UACGUAGGGUGCGAGCGUUGUCCGGAAUUAUUGGGCGUAAAGAGCUUGUAGGCGGUUUGUCGCGUCUGCUGUGAAAAUCCGGGGCUCAACCCCGGACUUGCAGUGGGUACGGGCAGACUGGAGUGUGGUAGGGGAGACUGGAAUUCCUGGUGUAGCGGUGGAAUGCGCAGAUAUCAGGAGGAACACCGAUGGCGAAGGCAGGUCUCUGGGCCACUACUGACGCUGAGAAGCGAAAGCAUGGGGAGCGAACGGG
This 253-nucleotide ribosomal RNA is filed under the name uncultured bacterium. RNAcentral describes it as "partial 16S ribosomal RNA". It matches the Rfam family "Bacterial small subunit ribosomal RNA", at positions 524 to 776 of the family's 1533-position model. The record is from RNAcentral.